AAUCAGAAUGUCGCGGUGAAUACGUUCCCGGGUCUUGUACACACCGCCCGUCACACCAUGGGAGUUGGAAAUGCCCGAAGUCAGUGACCCAACCGCAAGGAGGGAGCUGCCGAAGGUGGAGCCGAUGACUGGGGUGAAGUCGUAACAAGGUAGCCGUAUCGGAAGGUGCGGCUGGAUCACCUCCUUU
Molecule: ribosomal RNA, 187 nt
Filed under: Catenibacillus scindens
Lineage: Bacteria; Bacillati; Bacillota; Clostridia; Lachnospirales; Lachnospiraceae
Description: intestinal bacterium CG19-1 Bacterial small subunit ribosomal RNA
Rfam family: Bacterial small subunit ribosomal RNA
Source: Rfam by way of RNAcentral